Molecule: long non-coding RNA, 1282 nt
Filed under: Chloebia gouldiae (Gouldian finch)
Lineage: Eukaryota; Metazoa; Chordata; Aves; Passeriformes; Passeridae
Description: Erythrura gouldiae (Gouldian finch) lncRNA (ENSEGOG00005016367.1)
Source: RNAcentral
CCAGCGAGCCCUGCCUGCCGCCUCGGAUGCCAAACCAGCGGGCAGCCCAGCUUCCCUCCCCGCUCCCUCACCCGCUCACCCCUGUCCAGAGCUGGUGCACCCUCGAUGCCAGCGCCUCACUCUCUCAUGCGCGCCCGCUCCGCGCUGCCCGCCAGGAUCAAAUUUUGGCGCCGACCGUCGCAACCGUUAUGGGCGGUGCCUGAUGGCGGCCGGCCCGGCCCGGCGGAGAGGGGCGGUGCCGGGGGCGCCGGCGGAGCGCGGCCGGACGGAACGGUGCCCAGCCCCGGGCACAAAAGCGGGCACGGCGCGCACCCCCGGGCACAAAGGCGGGCACAAAGGCGGGCACCCCAGGCACAAAGAAAAAGAACAAAAGCUGAAGACAGUCCCCUGCACAAAGUUUUCUCUCUUGCUACAUACCUCAUUGCAAAAUCGUCGGGGCAAAAUACCAAAAUUUGCUGUUGUUUCUUAAGGUGGCUCAUAGAAGCUUAGCCACACAAGCUCUCCUUGUGCAGGGAACAGUGAACAUGUCAAGGCACACAGCUGUGUGUGACUGAAGGAGGCCAGCCACUGACUGCAGAUACAGAAGACCCAGUUUUUUUCUUGACUUGUCAGCAGAAGACCCAGUUUUCACCUGCCUGCUCUAAGUAUAAGUUUCUCUUUCUUUUUUCUUGUUAAUUCACUUGGGUGUAAGAAGGGAAGAGGACCUGUGAGGAUAGAAUUAAUGCAAGAAAUUUGUUUGUUUCUGUCUUGUACAGAAAAAUGUUGGUAGCAGUGUGCUUCCAAUUCCAAGCUCCAGUCUUCACAACUAGAGAAGUGUUUUCUUUCAAUGAGUGUCACAGAAAGAGCUCUUGCCUACCUUUGUUUUUCUCACUUGCACUUUGGUUCAAGCUUGUAAAAGUUUAGGUUCAGUAGAUAACCUCAGGUAAUGGGGGCAAUAGACAAAAGUUUUAAAUUUGUUUAUCUAAAGGGAUGUUUUUCCUCCUAAAACUAGUAGAUUUUCCUUCUUUAGUAUUUUUAGAGUGGGAGUUACACAUUUUGCUGGGAUGAUUUCCCACAUGAGGACUUGCUGCCAGCAGGCAGUGGUCUCACAGGUCACAGGAAAAUCUAGAUUGCUAAAACAGUGAGGAGACUUUUCUGACAUUUUAUUAACCUGGUGAUAUUACCACAGAGACAAGCAGAGGCUUUUUUGUGUAAUGGCACAUUACUGAGAUAGGUGUUCUGCCUGAAGAAGUCUAAACCAGUCCCAGGAGCACUGUUGGGCACUGCUUUGACAGGUGUGCUU